RNAcentral lists this transfer RNA (69 nucleotides) under Gennadas parvus. RNAcentral describes it as "tRNA-Met". The record is from RNAcentral. Lineage: Eukaryota; Metazoa; Arthropoda; Malacostraca; Decapoda; Benthesicymidae.
AAAAAGAUAAGCUAAUGUAAGCUCGUGGGUUCAUACCCCAUCCAUGAGGGUCAACUCCCUCUCUUUUUA